Molecule: ribosomal RNA, 460 nt
Filed under: uncultured bacterium
Lineage: Bacteria
Description: partial 16S ribosomal RNA
Rfam family: Bacterial small subunit ribosomal RNA
Source: RNAcentral
CCUACGGGUGGCAGCAGUGAGGAAUAUUGGUCAAUGGACGAGAGUCUGAACCAGCCAAGUAGCGUGAAGGAUGACUGCCCUAUGGGUUGUAAACUUCUUUUAUAUGGGAAUAAAAUGUUCCACGUGUGGGAUUUUGUAUGUACCAUAUGAAUAAGGAUCGGCUAACUCCGUGCCAGCAGCCGCGGUAAUACGGAGGAUCCGAGCGUUAUCCGGAUUUAUUGGGUUUAAAGGGAGCGUAGGUGGAUUGUUAAGUCAGUUGUGAAAGUUUGCGGCUCAACCGUAAAAUUGCAGUUGAAACUGGCAGUCUUGAGUACAGUAGAGGUGGGCGGAAUUCGUGGUGUAGCGGUGAAAUGCUUAGAUAUCACGAAGAACUCCGAUUGCGAAGGCAGUUCACUGGACUGCAACUGAAACUGAGGCUCGAAAGUGUGGGUAUCAAACAGGAUUAGAUACCCGAGUAGUC